Molecule: transfer RNA, 76 nt
Filed under: delta proteobacterium ML8_D
Lineage: Bacteria; Deltaproteobacteria
Also listed under: 4 other names
Description: tRNA-Lys
Rfam family: tRNA
About the family: Transfer RNA (tRNA) molecules are approximately 80 nucleotides in length. Their secondary structure includes four short double-helical elements and three loops (D, anti-codon, and T loops). Further hydrogen bonds mediate the characteristic L-shaped molecular structure. tRNAs have two regions of fundamental functional importance: the anti-codon, which is responsible for specific mRNA codon recognition, and the 3' end, to which the tRNAs corresponding amino acid is attached (by aminoacyl-tRNA synthetases). tRNAs cope with the degeneracy of the genetic code in two manners: having more than one tRNA (with a specific anti-codon) for a particular amino acid; and 'wobble' base-pairing, i.e. permitting non-standard base-pairing at the 3rd anti-codon position.
Source: RNAcentral
GGGCCGUUAACUCAGUUGGCAGAGUAUCUGCCUUUUAAGCAGAGAGUCGCUGGUUCGAAUCCAGCACGGCCUACCA